Schistosoma rodhaini is the source of this 45-nucleotide non-coding RNA. NCBI's taxonomy places the organism in Eukaryota, Metazoa, Platyhelminthes, Trematoda, Strigeidida, Schistosomatidae. The record is from Rfam.
AUCUAGCUGACGAGUUCGAAAUAGGACGGAAAGCGCGUCUUGGAU